Molecule: ribosomal RNA, 465 nt
Filed under: uncultured bacterium
Lineage: Bacteria
Description: partial 16S ribosomal RNA
Rfam family: Bacterial small subunit ribosomal RNA
Source: RNAcentral
GACGAACGCUGGCGGCGUGCUUAACACAUGCAAGUCGUACGGUAAGGCCCUUUCGGGGGUACACGAGUGGCGAACGGGUGAGUAACACGUGAGUAACCUGCCCACAACUUUGGGAUAACGCUAGGAAACUGGUGCUAAUACUGGAUAUGUGCUCCUGCUGCAUGGUGGGGGUUGGAAAGCUCCGGCGGUUGUGGAUGGACUCGCGGCCUAUCAGCUUGUUGGUGGGGUAGUGGCCUACCAAGGCGGCGACGAGUAGCCGGCCUGAGAGGGUGACCGGCCACAUUGGGACUGAGAUACGGCCCAGACUCCUACGGGAGGCAGCAGUGGGGAAUAUUGCACAAUGGGCGCAAGCCUGAUGCAGCAACGCCGCGUGCGGGAUGACGGCCUUCGGGUUGUAAACCGCUUUCAGCAGGGACGAAGCUUUUUGUGACGGUACCUGCAGAAGAAGCACCGGCUAACUACGUG